RNAcentral lists this unclassified non-coding RNA (316 nucleotides) under uncultured fungus. Its description in RNAcentral is "partial contains 5.8S ribosomal RNA and internal transcribed spacer 2". The stretch from base 1 to 133 matches the Rfam family "5.8S ribosomal RNA", at positions 22 to 154 of the family's 154-position model. Lineage: Eukaryota; Fungi. The record is from RNAcentral.
UGGUUCUGGCAUCGAUGAAGAACGCAGCGAAAUGCGAUAAUUAAUGUGAAUUGCAGAAUUUAGUGAAUCAUCGAAUCUUUGAACGCUCAUUGCGCCCCUUGGUAUUCCGGGGGGCAUGCCUGUUCGAGCGUCAUUUCAACCCUCAAGCUCUGCUUGGUCUUGGGCCGCGCCGGCAACGGCGGGCCUCAAAAACAGUGGCGGCGCCAUCGUGUCCCUCAGCGUAGUAAUUCUUCUCGCUGUUGGGCCCCGGUGGCCGCUGGCCAGCAACCCACAAUUUUCUAAGGUUGACCUCGGAUCAGGUAGGGAUACCCGCUGA